This 408-nucleotide ribosomal RNA is filed under the name uncultured Chitinophagaceae bacterium. RNAcentral's name for it is "bacterial SSU rRNA". It matches the Rfam family "Bacterial small subunit ribosomal RNA", at positions 506 to 916 of the family's 1533-position model. Lineage: Bacteria; Pseudomonadati; Bacteroidota; Chitinophagia; Chitinophagales; Chitinophagaceae. The record is from RNAcentral.
UGUCAGCAGCCGCGGUAAUACGGAGGGUGCAAGCGUUAUCCGGAUUCACUGGGUUUAAAGGGUGCGUAGGUGGGUUGGUAAGUCAGUGGUGAAAUCUCCGGGCUUAACCUGGAAACUGCCAUUGAUACUAUCAAUCUUGAAUACCUUGGAGGUGAGCGGAAUAUGUCAUGUAGCGGUGAAAUGCUUAGAUAUGACAUAGAACACCAAUUGCGAAGGCAGCUCACUACACGGUCAUUGACACUGAGGCACGAAAGCGUGGGGAUCAAACAGGAUUAGAUACCCUGGUAGUCCACGCCCUAAACGAUGGAUACUCGACAUCAGCGAUACACUGUUGGUGUCUGAGCGAAAGCAUUAAGUAUCCCACCUGGGAAGUACGACCGCAAGGUUGAAACUCAAAGGAAUUGGCGG